UACGGGGGGAGCAAGCGUUGUCCGGAAUCAUUGGGCGUAAAGCGCGUGUAGGCGGCCAGAAAAGUCCGCUGUGAAAACUCGAGGCUCAACUUCGAGCUGUCGGUGGAAACUUUCUGGCUAGAGUCCGGAAGAGGAGAAUGGAAUUCCUGGUGUAGCGGUGAAAUGCGCAGAUAUCAGGAAGAACACCCGUGGCGAAGGCGGUUCUCUGGGACGGUACUGACGCUGAGACGCGAAAGCGUGGGGAGCGAACAGG
This 253-nucleotide ribosomal RNA is filed under the name uncultured bacterium. RNAcentral's name for it is "partial 16S ribosomal RNA". It matches the Rfam family "Bacterial small subunit ribosomal RNA", at positions 524 to 776 of the family's 1533-position model. The record is from RNAcentral.